Molecule: ribosomal RNA, 546 nt
Filed under: uncultured bacterium
Lineage: Bacteria
Description: bacterial SSU rRNA
Rfam family: Bacterial small subunit ribosomal RNA
Source: RNAcentral
GGGGAAUAUUGCGCAAUGGGGGCAACCCUGACGCAGCCAUGCCGCGUGAAUGAAGGAGGCCUUCGGGUUGUAAAGUUCUUUCGGUAGCGAGGAAGGCACUUAGUUUAAUAAACUAGGUGAUUGACGUUAACUACAGAAGAAGCACCGGCUAACUCCGUGCCAGCAGCCGCGGUAAUACGGAGGGUGCGAGCGUUAAUCGGAAUAACUGGGCGUAAAGGGCACGCAGGCGGUGACUUAAGUGAGGUGUGAAAGCCCCGGGCUUAACCUGGGAAUUGCAUUUCAUACUGGGUCGCUAGAGUACUUUAGGGAGGGGUAGAAUUCCACGUGUAGCGGUGAAAUGCGUAGAGAUGUGGAGGAAUACCGAAGGCGAAGGCAGCCCCUUGGGAAUGUACUGACGCUCAUGUGCGAAAGCGUGGGGAGCAAACAGGAUUAGAUACCCUGGUAGUCCACGCUGUAAACGAUGUCGAUUUGGGGGUUGAACUUUGAGUUUGGCGCCCGUAGCUAACGUGAUAAAUCGACCGCCUGGGGAGUACGGCCGCAAGGUUA